RNAcentral lists this ribosomal RNA (468 nucleotides) under uncultured bacterium. Its description in RNAcentral is "partial 16S ribosomal RNA". It matches the Rfam family "Bacterial small subunit ribosomal RNA", at positions 28 to 507 of the family's 1533-position model. The record is from RNAcentral.
GAUGAACGCUGGCGGCGUGCUUAACACAUGCAAGUCGAACGGAAAGGCCGAAGAUUGCUUCGGUACUCGAGUGGCGAACGGGUGAGUAACACGUGGGUGAUCUGCCCUGUACUUCGGGAUAAGCUUGGGAAACUGGGUCUAAUACCGGAUAUGACGAUCUCUUGGAUGGGGUUGUGGAAAGCUUUUGCGGUAUGGGAUGAGCUCGCGGCCUAUCAGCUUGUUGGUGGGGUAAUGGCCUACCAAGGCGUCGACGGGUAGCCGGCCUGAGAGGGUGUACGGCAAAAUUGGGACUGAGAUACGGCCCAGACUCCUACGAGAGGCAGCAGUGGGGAAUAUUGCACAAUGGGCGCAAGCCUGAUGCAGCGACGCCGCGUGGGGGAUGACGGCCUUCGGGUUGUAAACUCCUUUCGCAAUCGACGAAGCCUUUUGGUGACGGUAGGUUGAGAAGAAGCACCGGCUAACUACGUG